UGCUGGUUGUCAAGUUGUUCCUAGUUUG
Molecule: non-coding RNA, 28 nt
Filed under: Homo sapiens (human)
Lineage: Eukaryota; Metazoa; Chordata; Mammalia; Primates; Hominidae
Source: RNAcentral